UAGGGAAUCUUCCGCAAUGGGCGAAAGCCUGACGGAGCAACGCCGCGUGAGUGAUGAAGGUUUUCGGAUCGUAAAGCUCUGUUGCCAAGGAAGAACGUCUUCUAGAGUAACUGCUAGGAGAGUGACGGUACUUGAGAAGAAAGCCCCGGCUAACUACGUGCCAGCAGCCGCGGUAAUACGUAGGGGGCAAGCGUUGUCCGGAAUUAUUGGGCGUAAAGCGCGCGCAGGCGGUUCUUUAAGUCUGGUGUUUAAACCCGAGGCUCAACUUCGGGUCGCACUGGAAACUGGGGAACUUGAGUGCAGAAGAGGAGAGUGGAAUUCCACGUGUAGCGGUGAAAUGCGUAGAUAUGUGGAGGAACACCAGUGGCGAAGGCGACUCUCUGGGCUGUAACUGACGCUGAGGCGCGAAAGCGUGGGGAGCAAACA
RNAcentral lists this ribosomal RNA (426 nucleotides) under uncultured Paenibacillus sp. RNAcentral describes it as "bacterial SSU rRNA". It matches the Rfam family "Bacterial small subunit ribosomal RNA", at positions 355 to 774 of the family's 1533-position model. Lineage: Bacteria; Bacillati; Bacillota; Bacilli; Caryophanales; Paenibacillaceae. The record is from RNAcentral.